UCCUCGAUGGUCUAGUGGUCAUGAUUUCCGCUUGUCAUCCGCAAGAUAACAAGCGCGGGAGACCUGGGUUCGAUUCCCAGUCGGGGAG
Molecule: non-coding RNA, 88 nt
Organism: Massariosphaeria phaeospora
Lineage: Eukaryota; Fungi; Ascomycota; Dothideomycetes; Pleosporales
Source: the annotation of a GenBank genome assembly